GACGAACGCUGGCGGCGUGCUUCAUACAUGCAAGUCAAACGAGAAGCUGACUUCGGUCAGUGGAAAGUGGCGGACGGGUGAGUAAUAUGUAGGAAAUCUGCCUUUAGGAGGGGGACAACAGAGGGAAACUUCUGCUAAUACCCCAUAUGAGCGUAGCUGAAAUGCUAUUCUUGAAAACUCCGGUGCCUAAAGAUGAGCCUGCAUCUGAUUAGCUAGUUGGUAGUGUAAUGGACUACCAAGGCGACGAUCAGUAGCUGGUUUGAGAGGAUGAUCAGCCACAAUCGGAGUGAGGCACGACCCAUACACCUACGGCAGGCGGCGGUAGCGUAUCUUACGCAAUGGGCGAAAGCCAGACGCAGCAUCGCCGCGUGAACCACUGUUCCCUUCGGGGUAUAAAGUUCUAUCAGUCUGGACGCAACUUGACGGUACCCACAGAGGAAGCACCGGCUAACUCCGUG
RNAcentral lists this ribosomal RNA (458 nucleotides) under uncultured bacterium. RNAcentral describes it as "partial 16S ribosomal RNA". It matches the Rfam family "Bacterial small subunit ribosomal RNA", at positions 28 to 507 of the family's 1533-position model. The record is from RNAcentral.